This 315-nucleotide ribosomal RNA is filed under the name Triticum aestivum (bread wheat). Its description in RNAcentral is "partial small subunit ribosomal RNA". Lineage: Eukaryota; Viridiplantae; Streptophyta; Magnoliopsida; Poales; Poaceae. The record is from RNAcentral.
UACAUUGGACACCGCUGUUUCCUUGCCAAGGACAAGCCGCAUCCUAGAAAAUACCGAAGACAUGUGUUCAAUACAAAGCAUGAAAACUGUGAUGCGCCAAAGAGGCUCACCGCCAAUGAGUUGCAAGUGGAAUUAGAGAAGGUCAGGCAUAUUACACUAGGAAACCAUCCUGGUAAUGGUAGCGGGAAAAGGAAGCGUGGCAGGGCAGAAGAGAGAUUAUUGUUUACCCGCAGGUCCACAUUGUGGGACUUGGAGUAUUGGAAAGAUUUGGAUCUCCGGCAUAAUCUUGAUGUGAUGCACAUUGAGAAAAAUAUA